This 497-nucleotide ribosomal RNA is filed under the name uncultured bacterium. RNAcentral describes it as "partial 16S ribosomal RNA". It matches the Rfam family "Bacterial small subunit ribosomal RNA", at positions 28 to 507 of the family's 1533-position model. The record is from RNAcentral.
GAUGAACGCUGGCGGCGUGCCUAAUACAUGCAAGUCGAGCGAACAGAUAAGGAGCUUGCUCCUUUGACGUUAGCGGCGGACGGGUGAGUAACACGUGGGUAACCUACCUAUAAGACUGGGAUAACUUCGGGAAACCGGAGCUAAUACCGGAUAACAUUUGGAACCGCAUGGUUCUAAAGUGAAAGAUGGUUUUGCUAUCACUUAUAGAUGGACCCGCGCCGUAUUAGCUAGUUGGUAAGGUAACGGCUUACCAAGGCGACGAUACGUAGCCGACCUGAGAGGGUGAUCGGCCACACUGGAACUGAGACACGGUCCAGACUCCUACGGGAGGCAGCUGUAGGGAAUCUUCCGCAAUAGGCGAAAGCCUGACGGAGCAACGCCGCGUGAGUGAUGAAGGGUUUCGGCUCGUAAAACUCUGUUAUUAGGGAAGAACAAAUGUGUAAGUAACUGUGCACGUCUUGACGGUACCUAAUCAGAAAGCCACGGCUAACUACGUG